UGGGAGCUUGCUCCCUGAUGUUAGCGGCGGACGGGUGAGUAACACGUGGGUAACCUGCCUGUAAGACUGGGAUAACUCCGGGAAACCGGGGCUAAUACCGGAUGCUUGUUUGAACCGCAUGGUUCAAACAUAAAAGGUGGCUUCGGCUACCACUUACAGAUGGACCCGCGGCGCAUUAGCUAGUUGGUGAGGUAAUGGCUCACCAAGGCAACGAUGCGUAGCCGACCUGAGAGGGUGAUCGGCCACACUGGGACUGAGACACGGCCCAGACUCCUACGGGAGGCAGCAGUAGGGAAUCUUCCGCAAUGGACGAAAGUCUGACGGAGCAACGCCGCGUGAGUGAUGAAGGUUUUCGGAUCGUAAAGCUCUGUUGUUAGGGAAGAACAAGUACCGUUCGAAUAGGGCGGUACCUUGACGGUACCUAACCAGAAAGCCACGGCUAACUACGUGCCAGCAGCCGCGGUAAUACGUAGGUGGCAAGCGUUGUCCGGAAUUAUUGGGCGUAAAGGGCUCGCAGGCGGUUCCUUAAGUCUGAUGUGAAAGCCCCCGGCUCAACCGGGGAGGGUCAUUGGAAACUGGGGAACUUGAGUGCAGAAGAGGAGAGUGGAAUUCCACGUGUAGCGGUGAAAUGCGUAGAGAUGUGGAGGAACACCAGUGGCGAAGGCGACUCUCUGGUCUGUAACUGACGCUGAGGAGCGAAAGCGUGGGGAGCGAACAGGAUUAGAUACCCUGGUAGUCCACGCCGUAAACGAUGAGUGCUAAGUGUUAGGGGGUUUCCGCCCCUUAGUGCUGCAGCUAACGCAUUAAGCACUCCGCCUGGGGAGUACGGUCGCAAGACUGAAACUCAAAGGAAUUGACGGGGGCCCGCA
Molecule: ribosomal RNA, 869 nt
Filed under: Bacillus halotolerans
Lineage: Bacteria; Bacillati; Bacillota; Bacilli; Caryophanales; Bacillaceae
Description: bacterial SSU rRNA
Rfam family: Bacterial small subunit ribosomal RNA
Source: RNAcentral